RNAcentral lists this ribosomal RNA (449 nucleotides) under uncultured bacterium. RNAcentral's name for it is "bacterial SSU rRNA". It matches the Rfam family "Bacterial small subunit ribosomal RNA", at positions 28 to 477 of the family's 1533-position model. The record is from RNAcentral.
GAUGAACGCUGGCGGCGUGCUUAACACAUGCAAGUCGAACGAAGCGCCUUGGACAGAUUCUUCGGAUGAAGUCUUUGGUGACUGAGUGGCGGACGGGUGAGUAACGCGUGGGUAACCUGCCUCAUACAGGGGGAUAACAGUUAGAAAUGGCUGCUAAUACCGCAUAAGCGCACGGUACUGCAUGGUACAGUGUGAAAAACUCCGGUGGUAUGAGAUGGACCCGCGUUGGAUUAGCUAGUUGGCAGGGUAACGGCCUACCAAGGCGACGAUCCAUAGCCGGCCUGAGAGGGUGGACGGCCACAUUGGGACUGAGACACGGCCCAGACUCCUACGGGAGGCAGCAGUGGGGAAUAUUGCACAAUGGGGGAAACCCUGAUGCAGCGACGCCGCGUGAGCGAAGAAGUAUUUCGGUAUGUAAAGCUCUAUCAGCAGGGAAGAAAAUGACGGUA